Molecule: ribosomal RNA, 468 nt
Filed under: Salmonella enterica
Lineage: Bacteria; Pseudomonadati; Pseudomonadota; Gammaproteobacteria; Enterobacterales; Enterobacteriaceae
Also listed under: 3 other names
Description: partial 23S ribosomal RNA
Rfam family: Bacterial large subunit ribosomal RNA
Source: RNAcentral
GGUGAUCUAGCCAUGGGCAGGUUGAAGGUUGGGUAACACUAACUGGAGGACCGAACCGACUAAUGUUGAAAAAUUAGCGGAUGACCUGUGGCUGGGGGUGAAAGGCCAAUCAAACCGGGAGAUAGCUGGUUCUCCCCGAAAGCUAUUUAGGUAGCGCCUCGUGAAUUCAUCUCCGGGGGUAGAGCACUGUUUCGGCUAGGGGGCCAUCCCGGCUUACCAACCCGAUGCAAACUGCGAAUACCGGAGAAUGUUAUCACGGGAGACACACGGCGGGUGCUAACGUCCGUCGUGAAGAGGGAAACAACCCAGACCGCCAGCUAAGGUCCCAAAGUCAUGGUUAAGUGGGAAACGAUGUGGGAAGGCCCAGACAGCCAGGAUGUUGGCUUAGAAGCAGCCAUCAUUUAAAGAAAGCGUAAUAGCUCACUGGUCGAGUCGGCCUGCGCGGAAGAUGUAACGGGGCUAAACCAU